RNAcentral lists this ribosomal RNA (468 nucleotides) under uncultured bacterium. RNAcentral's name for it is "partial 16S ribosomal RNA". It matches the Rfam family "Bacterial small subunit ribosomal RNA", at positions 28 to 507 of the family's 1533-position model. The record is from RNAcentral.
GACGAACGCUGGCGGCGUGCUUAACACAUGCAAGUCGAACGGAAAGGCCCUGCUUUUGUGGGGUGCUCGAGUGGCGAACGGGUGAGUAACACGUGAGUAACCUGCCCUUGACUUUGGGAUAACUUCUGGAAACUGGGGCUAAUACCGGACAGGAGCUCCUGCUGCAUGGUGGGGGUGGGAAAGUUUCGGCGGUUGGGGAUGGACGGGCGGCUUAUCAGCUUGUUGGUGGGGUAGUGGCUUACCAAGGCUUUGACGGGUAGCCGGCCUGAGAGGGUGACCGGCCACAUUGGGACUGAGAUACGGCCCAGACUCGUACGGGAGGCAGCAGUGGAGAAUAUUGCACAAUGGGCGGAAGCCUGAUGCAGCAACGCCGCGUGCGGGAUGACGGCCUUCGGGUUGUAAACCGCUUUCGCCUGUGACGGAGCGUGAGUGACGGUAAUGGGUAAAGAAGCACCGGCUAACUACGUG